GACGAACGCUGGCGGCGUGCUUAACACAUGCAAGUCGAACGGAAAGGCCCCUUUGGGGGUACUCGAGUGUCGAACGGGUGAGUAACACGUGAGUAACCUGCCCUUGACUUCGGGAUAACUUCAGGAAACUGGGGCUAAUACCGGAUAGGAAUCCUUGCUGCAUGGUGGGGGUUGGAAAGCUUCGGCGGUUUUGGAUGGACUCGCGGCUUAUCAGCUUGUUGGUGGGGUAGUGGCUUACCAAGGCUUUGACGGGUAGCCGGCCUGAGAGGGCGACCGGCCACACUGGGACUGAGAUACGGCCCAGACUCCUACGGGAGGCAGCAGGGGGGAAUAUUGCACAAUGGGCGGAAGCCUGAUGCAGCAACGCCGCGUGCGGGAUGACGGCCUUCGGGUUGUAAACCGCUUUCAGCAGGGGCGAAGCUUGUGGUGACGGUACCUGCAGAAGAAGCACCGGCUAACUACGUG
This 465-nucleotide ribosomal RNA is filed under the name uncultured bacterium. RNAcentral describes it as "partial 16S ribosomal RNA". It matches the Rfam family "Bacterial small subunit ribosomal RNA", at positions 28 to 507 of the family's 1533-position model. The record is from RNAcentral.